GGGUUUCCAACAUUCAGCGUCUUCUCCAAGCUUCCUCUCUCAAUCUUCUCCAAGCUUCCUCUCUCAAUCUCAAACGUCUGAUAAGGUAAAUCGAAUAUGUUCUUUAUAGAUCCAACAUAAAUUUUGCAAUAUAUAUUACUUUUUUUGUGUUUUGAUUUCUCAGUUGUUCCAUAUUAUUACUCAAUCUAGAUCUUCCCAUGUUAUUCAUCUUCAUUUUAUAUCAAUCAGUUAUAGAUCCAAAUGAAUCAAGUUUUUGAUAUUAAAGGAAGAAAUUUUUAGGGUUUCACAUCUCAUUCUCAAUCGGCUGACAGCAAGGUAAUCUUAGGGUUUCACAUCUCAUUCUCAUCAGGUACGAUCCAGAUUUGUUUGUUCUUUAACAUAUAUUGUUGAUUUUUUGUUUAAAAUUUUCCCGUUUUUUGAUUGUUGUUCUAUUCUCUAAUUUCAUCAUUAAUCCCUCUUUAGUUGGUGUUGUUGGAGUGGUUUAUAUGGUAUGAAUUGUGUGUCUGAAUAUAAAAGAGAAAAUCCUAAUUUAGUAUUCUUAGUAUGUAGAUUCCUUUCAUUUUAUUUACUUUAACAGAUGAUUUGAAUGCUUAUUUAACCUUACUUGAAUGGCCGAUCAUCAUUUUUUUCCAUUUUAUUAGCUGUAGUUGAUGACAUUGAAUGCUUAUGUAACCCAAAUUGAUUCUCCGAUUUCUAAACAAUUUCUUUUGUCUAAUUUUUACAGGGAAGCAGGUUAUGUGCUUGAAGAUAUGCCUCACUUAACUGAUCCACUCAGGCAAGCUUUUUAUUGAGCUGAAAACUAAGAGCUAUGUAUGGGAAGAUGGAUGAUAUUAUCGACGUGAUGAAGAAGGAAAUGGUUGAUUUGGUAAAUAACUGUAACCUAUAUCUAUGUUUUGACGAAGAACACGAGCACAAAUUUAAAAAUAUGUAAUGUCGAUUCAACAAAUGUUGUCGCCAAAAUUGAUGCAUCUAAAGUCACUGCAAAGGUAUAAGCGGAAGAGGUAAUUGCUUCCAUAAGUUUGUCUAUGAUCGAGGUAUACAUUGAAUGUGUUUUCCUUUGAUAUCUUCUUCGCUGCAUGUGCUCGGCGCUCUUUGUUCGCGGUCUCCUCCAAUCAGUUGCAAAGUGUUCGUGGAAAGCAAUGGUCUAGAAUAAAAGCUUAUGAAAGCAAGCCCAUGUCAAGUCAUUUUCUACUCUGGAAAGAACAGUGUAGGAAGAAGAUCUUCAGAUAUAAAAAGGUGCGAUGUAAACAUCGGUUAGAGCUUGAUCAGAAGAAUAAGAAAAGCACUUGAUAAGAAGCUUGAAUUUCAUCUAGGGCAAACGGAAAGUUGCGUGAGCGAUUACCCAGUCCAAUGAGAGGAUCUGCCAUCACUUGUGACAUAUGGAUUACAACCUGUGUUUAUGAACUAGAAGGAAAGGAUAUAAGUUUUCAUGUUCUUGAGUUGCAAAGAAACAAAUAUGACCCAUUACCCUGUUCGAUUUGCAAGAACCAUGGUGUGCGGUGUGCCAAUGGAGCUCCUCGAGUCACUUAAAGCUGCAACUCACAAGUAUUUUUCUCAAACGGGUGAAAAAAGGUUGUGUAUCUCAAAGGGACAGCUUAAGUUGGUGGAUAUCAUUGAAAGCCAUAUGUAUGUUCUUCUGAAUCUGUUGGCAAUCAGUGAAGAGAAACUAAGCCACACUUGGCCUGACCCGAGUUAUGUGUGGUACUUCUAGACAUGUUUUAGAGCAUGUUGCACUCAAAGAUUCAACAAGGGAAAAGUUUUGAAGUAUAAAGAUGAGUUAUAGUGAAGACCAUUAUUUAAUUCUGACGUGGGAGUACUCGAACCACAAUACAUAUUUUAUAAUGAUGAUGAAAAAGUGUUAAGCGUAAUUUAGUUAUUCACUGCUUUUAGAAUAGUUAUAAUGUUUAUAUAUUUGACUU
Helianthus annuus (common sunflower) is the source of this 1919-nucleotide long non-coding RNA. RefSeq lists it as uncharacterized. NCBI's taxonomy places the organism in Eukaryota, Viridiplantae, Streptophyta, Magnoliopsida, Asterales, Asteraceae. The transcript has 9 exons. The record is from RefSeq and is a predicted model, not a curated record.